Molecule: long non-coding RNA, 646 nt
Filed under: Bos grunniens (domestic yak)
Lineage: Eukaryota; Metazoa; Chordata; Mammalia; Artiodactyla; Bovidae
Description: lncRNA (ENSBGRG00000008045.1)
Source: RNAcentral
UUAUCGUGUUAACCUUUGCCCCUUAUCUCUCUCCCCAAGCCUUUCUGCUUUCAGUGUCCUUGGAGCCAUCAGCAGCUGUGUCCCCACAAAGCCCUGACACUACUCUGUGUGGUACUACUGAGCCUCCUUAAUGUCCCUCCUUGCUGUGAAAUCUUAGUGCUUCAGCCUCUUCUUGAUGGGUAUCUCACCUUGCCCUUGAAGGAGAGCUUUGCUCAGAAAAUAGAGUCCUGGGAGACCCCAGAGACUGUUCCCAGCAGGAUGUCCAUCCCAUCAGCUGAGAGUCCUCAUGGUCAGUCUCAUGGACCUGUCACGGAGGCCAGCCUGCAGGGCAGGACACAGGAGCACAGGCCGAAGAGGGCUUCCUGUGACUGCUAAGGACAAGCCUUUUGCUUGGCACCUGGCCUGCAGCUGUCGGCCGGUCUGCACCUGCCUGUGCACCCGCUUUUGGGGUCUUUCUCCCUCACCCCAACUGGACCCCUGGCCUGGCCAGCCCUCCCCACCCUUGGGAAGCCUCUCACCGUCCAGCCCUCCUUGGACAUCACAUCCCUUUCGUCUGAUCUCUCUGGGGAAGCCUAUUUGCUGUCCAUGGCUUCUAGUUCUUCUGGAUGAGCACCCAGGGGAUGGCCAGAGCUGCUGUGCCGACUGA